AUACUGUGGGGGAGUUUCCAUGUGGCCCCAGGUGUGCUGAGGUGGAAGAAUGAAAGCUGCCCUUGAGAGCUCAAGAGAGAGAGGAAGGGAAACAGCUGUGAGCAUCUCUGGGCGGAAGAGACGUGUUCUCAGACAACCUCUGGAGGUAUCCAGCACAUGGGGAAUCUCUCCAGUGACCCCAUAGCACAUCCCUGGAGCUUCAGCUCAAGAGCCCCGAUUCUGCAUUCUGGAUUCAUACGCCUUGCUCAUGUCAAAUUUUGGAGCCUCAAGCAGUGGGCCUUCAAGGGCUCCUCGACUCAUCACUCUCCGCUAUGGAAAAGCCAGGUCGUCCCAGGAGCCCCUUCAGCCACGCCACGCUCUCAGUGUUGCUCAGCCGACCCAGGAUUAAUAUUUGGGGAGAUGAAGAAACAUAUUUCCAAAUCCCAGAGGGGAUCACUUGGGCCAAGCUCUACUCCUUCAAGAUGUACGAGUUGCCGCACUGAUGUCUCCACCUAGAACUUGUAAAGAUACUCAUGAAUUUCCACAAGCUGCACACCCACUCCUCCCAGGCUAAGUGCUGGAUAAGGGGAUCUCCAGCCCAAGAGGCCUCUCCUGCAGGGCCUCUGGGGUCCUUGGUGACCAGUGCACUCAGUCUCUUAGGAAGCCAGCCCCAGCCAGCGAGGUGCAUGGAGUCCACAGAAAAGGGCCCGGCCUUCUCCAAGAUGUUUGUUGGUAAGAUACCUCUCAUGCCUGCUCCUCGACUUGUUGCUACCAUCCAGCCUCGGAGGCCACUUUGUUCUCUUCUUCCCAUUUUUUUCUCUAAUUGUGCUCUUGUCUCCUCUCCACACACACAUACGUCCACCAUACUGUCCUUCCUCCCAUCUGAGUCAUGUCUCAAUCUUCCUGCUUUGUUUCCCAGAUGCCCCUUUCAGGCACAGCUCACCCAGGGAAUGCUAACCCUGCUUUUGUGCAGCGUCCUGUGCAGCCCUGCCCAGGAGGAGUCCAAGCCCACAGGGUUCCCCCUCCUUAGGUCAGCUGUGGAAAGCCAGGCUCAAACAGUGGGUCCUACAUG
This 1051-nucleotide long non-coding RNA is filed under the name Equus caballus (horse). Its description in RNAcentral is "lncRNA (ENSECAG00000058742.1)". Lineage: Eukaryota; Metazoa; Chordata; Mammalia; Perissodactyla; Equidae. The record is from RNAcentral.